Leptinotarsa decemlineata (Colorado potato beetle) is the source of this 1181-nucleotide long non-coding RNA. RefSeq lists it as uncharacterized. NCBI's taxonomy places the organism in Eukaryota, Metazoa, Arthropoda, Insecta, Coleoptera, Chrysomelidae. The record is from RefSeq and is a predicted model, not a curated record.
UUAUGUCAUUUACUUCUCUGACAUUGUUAAACAAAACAACGAAUAACUUGUCAAAAAAUCAGAAAAACUUUUCAGGCCGAAUUUCAAAAAUUUUCAGUGUUAUUUAACAAAAUGUCCAGUAAAAAGGAAGAGCAGGUCUUUUACCCGAUAGAUUAUGUACCGUAUUGUUUGCCGAAUAUGCCUUUCCAGACGUAUUAUCAACAAAUAAAUACUAUUCCGUUUUUCCUGCCACCCAUUUCCCCAUGUUGUCCAUGUCCAGAAAACGGCACACUGAAGAAACAAAAGUGAAACUAAAUAAUCGUCCCUGUCCAUAUUGUGGGAAUACGUCUGUCUGAUGCGAAGCAGAAUUGUCAAAGUAACAACCUCAAUGUAACACUAAGUCCAAAUAGAUCAAUAAAACGUUUGAAACUGAUUUUAGAAAAAAUUAUUCCAGAGUGAGAUAUCAUAUUGUGUAACAUUAAAAAACUAUUCAAGUCUAUAUUCCUGUAACUGAAUUUAAGACUGAUGACAAUAUGGCCAAUUAUUCUACGAAUAAGAAAUACAGUUGGUCUAAACAUGCAUAGAAACCCUGGUGCUUUACCGACUCGCUUUUGUUAUCUCAUAAUCUCGACGCGGGAAAUGUGAUUGGCCCAACUUUAUACAAAUGUUCAUAGAUGGAGUAAGAAUCUGUUCCAAAUGUAAACAUGGGUGUGCGCUUAGCGCCUCUAUGAAUGGAAAGUCAAAGUACGUCGUAUCUCUUCAUUUCAUAAAGAAUCAAACGUGCCAGAUCGAGUUUUAUCAAAGAAAUAUUUUAAAUAGCAAGGGAUUCAAGUGUUAUUUCUAUGCAUCUUGGUUGGCUUCAUUCAAAAUUGAAGAGUUGUCACAAUUUUUCGUUUAAGCUCACAGAAAAUCAAAAUUUGAAGUGUAAAUAUGGAUUGCUGUUGUUGUCCUUGCCCUUCUUUUGCCAGUUGCUUGAACGCUUUGGCAUAUCCCUGCUAUCAAGUGCCGUAUUCUAUACCUGCCCCAAUGGCUAAAAUAGAUUACAUGUUAGUGCCCUGUUGCCCCCCUUGUAAUCCAUGUCCUCAGCCGAAAUUGUGCCCAAGCAAAAAAUAGUGUUGCAAAGUCUAUUGUUGAUAUUUCUUCUAUGAUUUCGUGAUUUGAACGUGUACUUUUAAUCAAUGAAUAUAUUGUUGAAGUAAUGA